GGCGGCGCCCGACACAAGGCUGCAGACCACGAGCGGCAGGAUCACCAUGCGCAGCAUCCGCAGCAGCAGCUCCCCGGGGAAGGCCAGAUUCCCUUCGAGGAAAAAAGAGGGAUGCCCAUUCCCCAGACCAAAUAGAAAACCAGGGGUUUUCAUCUCUAACACAUAAUGCCAGAGGAGGUUUAAUGCUUUACUACCAGAGUGUGUGCUCUUGUUCAGCCUAAGAGGCAGCAAAUCCCCAUUUCACAGGCAAAGCUCCUCCUGAGCUCCUCUAAGGGCAGGGGAGCUGAUAUAGCCUGCAAGGAAUACCAGGAAGAGCCUGGGAUAUCAAGAAAAGGCAGUCAAGCUGGACAAGAAGGUAUCUGCAACUCACCUAAAGGACCUGCAGCCCCUUGUCAGCCACCAGCUAAAACCCAAACCAGCUUUGAGUGCUCAGGCUCUGUCCAAGGGAAGAGAAACCUACUGUGAGAAGCACAAAUGCUGAGGUGAAAGAGAAGAAAUCUCCUAAAAUGAUUGUAAAAGCAUCAGUGGGGAGCUUCUGGACUGUGGGACCUCAGCAUUAGCAAAUCUUGCUAACAAGCUGCUUGAGCGUUCAUGUGAGGCACCAGAAGAAUGGGUUACGUGUCUUAUUGAUUUAAUGACAACUAUCGCUGCUAGGAAUUGAUGCUUUCAUUAGAGAAAGCAGGUUAGCAACAGACUUGUGAAUGUUUGGCCAACUCAGGAGAUGGCAGGGUACAAAUGGUUUCCCCUACUGAAAUAAAACUAACAGGCAAGGUGUAAUGUCAUGGGGCUAUAA
Molecule: long non-coding RNA, 793 nt
Organism: Pseudopipra pipra
Lineage: Eukaryota; Metazoa; Chordata; Aves; Passeriformes; Pipridae
Exons: 4
Source: RefSeq, a predicted model, not a curated record